RNAcentral lists this ribosomal RNA (725 nucleotides) under uncultured bacterium. RNAcentral's name for it is "bacterial SSU rRNA". It matches the Rfam family "Bacterial small subunit ribosomal RNA", at positions 9 to 694 of the family's 1533-position model. The record is from RNAcentral.
GAGUUUGAUCCUGGCUCAGGACGAACGCUGGCGGCGUGCCUAAUACAUGCAAGUCGAGCGAGCUUGCCUAGAUGAUUUUAGUGCUUGCACUAAAUGAAACUAGAUACAAGCGAGCGGCGGACGGGUGAGUAACACGUGGGUAACCUGCCCAAGAGACUGGGAUAACACCUGGAAACAGAUGCUAAUACCGGAUAACAACACUAGACGCAUGUCUAGAGUUUGAAAGAUGGUUCUGCUAUCACUCUUGGAUGGACCUGCGGUGCAUUAGCUAGUUGGUAAGGUAACGGCUUACCAAGGCAAUGAUGCAUAGCCGAGUUGAGAGACUGAUCGGCCACAUUGGGACUGAGACACGGCCCAAACUCCUACGGGAGGCAGCAGUAGGGAAUCUUCCACAAUGGACGCAAGUCUGAUGGAGCAACGCCGCGUGAGUGAAGAAGGUUUUCGGAUCGUAAAGCUCUGUUGUUGGUGAAGAAGGAUAGAGGUAGUAACUGGCCUUUAUUUGACGGUAAUCAACCAGAAAGUCACGGCUAACUACGUGCCAGCAGCCGCGGUAAUACGUAGGUGGCAAGCGUUGUCCGGAUUUAUUGGGCGUAAAGCGAGCGCAGGCGGAAAAAUAAGUCUAAUGUGAAAGCCCUCGGCUUAACCGAGGAACUGCAUCGGAAACUGUUUUUCUUGAGUGCAGAAGAGGAGAGUGGAACUCCAUGUGUAGCGGUGAAAUGCGUAGA